Molecule: non-coding RNA, 93 nt
Filed under: Lysinibacillus odysseyi
Lineage: Bacteria; Bacillati; Bacillota; Bacilli; Caryophanales; Bacillaceae
Also listed under: 1 other name
Description: Glycine sequence
Rfam family: Glycine riboswitch aptamer
About the family: This family represents the bacterial glycine riboswitch. Glycine riboswitches usually consist of two metabolite-binding aptamers domains with similar structures in tandem.
Source: RNAcentral
AUGAGUGUACGGGGAGAGAACGUAAUGUUGCGUCGCCGAAGGAGCAAGUAGAGAAGCUAUGAAUCUCUCAGGCAAAAAGACUCGUACAGGACG